AAAAAUUAAUUCAUCAAAAUAUACAAAAAUAAUAUAAUACUUUGUUUUAGUCACCAGCAAAAGGAACAUAUCUGUAAUUGAAGUGGCUGAUAAAAGUAUGUUAGACAUUUCUGCAAUUCAUUCAUUUUUAAUCCAAUGAGACAGCUCCUCAAGUAUUGUCUGCUGAAAGACGGGUCUGGAGUAAGGUGUUCCACUCAUCUCAUUUGCACAGAAGGGACAAACUUUUGUUGGGAGCUUCAGCCCAGGAUGCUGCUCACCAGGUGCACCUUCCCUGUCUGUAAGGAAUCUGACCUGUUCCUCUUGGCUUUCAGGGAAUGCUGCAGGCUCCAUCUGUUUCACUGAGUUUUCAAAAUUAAGGUCAUCAAGGCAUAAACUAAGAGGUGGUGCUAGGACGUGAGUAGUGAUUCAAGCCUGGCCACUGGGUGCACAUUGUGAUGAACUCUGCAACGCUUCAUACCCAUGGGUCUAGAUUCUGCAAAACUCCUCUGGGAAGCUGUGAAGAGAAAUGCAAGUGGGAGAGGACUGCAGCUCCCUAGUGCUGUGAUCUCCUGUCUGCAAGACCACCUUCAUCUGAGGAAACAAAGCAUGCUGAAUUUGUCCUGCAGCCAUCACAUCAGGUGGAGUCAAGUCUCCUAACCUGGAGGGGGACUGGCAAAGUGGCUGGAGAAAUAAACCUGGAAAUGUUCUAACAACAGAAAUAAACCUGGAUGGUUAUUAACUCAAGGUUAUCUCCAUUAGUACAGAAGAAGCUGUCAUACAUAACUGGAGAAAUCCUUUGAAUCAUAACCUCGCAGGUAAGCCCUGAGAAAAAAAACAUUAUUUCAGUCUCCCAAUGAAACUGGGUGUGAGAAUUAUCUAUAGUUGAAAGCAGUUACUUGCAUUUUGUAAUUUGUUCUUUGCUUUUUA
Long non-coding RNA from Cygnus olor (mute swan), 906 nucleotides. RefSeq lists it as uncharacterized. The transcript is spliced from 3 exons. The record is from RefSeq and is a predicted model, not a curated record. Lineage: Eukaryota; Metazoa; Chordata; Aves; Anseriformes; Anatidae.